Molecule: ribosomal RNA, 495 nt
Filed under: uncultured bacterium
Lineage: Bacteria
Description: partial 16S ribosomal RNA
Rfam family: Bacterial small subunit ribosomal RNA
Source: RNAcentral
GAUGAACGCUGGCGGCGUGCCUAAUACAUGCAAGUCGAGCGAACAGACGAGGAGCUUGCUCCUCUGACGUUAGCGGCGGACGGGUGAGUAACACGUGGAUAACCUACCUAUAAGACUGGGAUAACUUCGGGAAACCGGAGCUAAUACCGGAUAAUAUAUUGAACCGCAUGGUUCAAUAGUGAAAGACGGUUUUGCUGUCACUUAUAGAUGGAUCCGCGCCGCAUUAGCUAGUUGGUAAGGUAACGGCUUACCAAGGCAACGAUGCGUAGCCGACCUGAGAGGGAGAGCGGACACAGGGGAAGAGAGACACUGCAGAGACCUACACGAGAGGGAGGAGUAGGGAAUCCUGCGAAAGGCGAGAGAGUGAGAGGGCGAAACGCCGCGAGAGAGAUGGAGGUUCUGGGAGUGUAAAACUGUGAUAAGAGGGAAGAAAAAAUGUAAGUAACUAUGCACGUCUUGACGGUACCUAAUCAGAAAGCCACGGCUAACUACGUG